CUACGGGAUGCUCCAGUGAGGAAUAUUGGUCAAUGGGCGAGAGCCUGAACCAGCCAAGUCGCGUGAAGGAAGAAGGUUCUAUGGAUUGUAAACUUCUUUUGUAAGGGAAUAAAAAGAGUUACGUGUAACUUAUUGUAUGUACUUUACGAAUAAGGAUCGGCUAACUCCGUGCCAGCAGCCGCGGUAAUACGGAGGAUCCAAGCGUUAUCCGGAUUUAUUGGGUUUAAAGGGUGCGUAGGCGGACCCAUAAGUCAGUGGUGAAAGUUUGCAGCUUAACUGUAAAAUUGCCAUUGAAACUGUGGGUCUUGAGUGUAAAUGAGGUAGGCGGAAUGUGUUGUGUAGCGGUGAAAUGCUUAGAUAUAACACAGAACACCAAUUGCGAAGGCAGCUUACUAGAAUACAACUGACGCUGAGGCACGAAAGCGUGGGGAUCAAACAGGAUUAGAUACCCGUGUAGUC
Molecule: ribosomal RNA, 459 nt
Filed under: uncultured bacterium
Lineage: Bacteria
Description: partial 16S ribosomal RNA
Rfam family: Bacterial small subunit ribosomal RNA
Source: RNAcentral